CUUCUGAAUAAAUAUAGAAGGUCCAGCCUGCCCAGUGACAAAGUUAAACGGCCGCGGUACCCUAACCGUGCAAAGGUAGCGCAAUCACUUGUUCUUUAAAUGAGGACUAGUAUGAACGGCAUCACGAGGAUUAUUCUGUCUCCCCCCUUUAAUCAGUGAAACUGAUCUCCCCGUGAAGAAGCGGGGAUAAACCUAUAAGACGAGAAGACCCUAUGGAGCUUUAAACUUACACCACUUGUCUAUACACAAUUCACAAUAAACAGACAAAACUAACGUGCUAGUUUUUGGUUGGGGUGACCGCGGAGCAAAAUAAAACCUCCACAAUGAAAAGACUUCCAAUCUUUAUCUAAGAGCAACAUCUCAAAGAAUUGGUAGACCAACACAACUGACCCAAACAUGCUUUGAUCAACGAACCAAGUUAC
RNAcentral lists this ribosomal RNA (422 nucleotides) under Chiasmocleis sp. AF2669/MNHN-RA-2022.0029. RNAcentral describes it as "partial large subunit ribosomal RNA". It matches the Rfam family "Bacterial large subunit ribosomal RNA", at positions 1832 to 2466 of the family's 2925-position model. RNAcentral also lists the same sequence under 1 other name. The record is from RNAcentral. Lineage: Eukaryota; Metazoa; Chordata; Amphibia; Anura; Microhylidae.